Molecule: ribosomal RNA, 168 nt
Filed under: uncultured bacterium
Lineage: Bacteria
Description: partial 16S ribosomal RNA
Rfam family: Bacterial small subunit ribosomal RNA
Source: RNAcentral
CCUACGGGAGGCAGCAGUGGGGAAUUUUGGACAAUGGGCGCAAGCCUGAUCCAGCAAUGCCGCGUGCAGGAAGAAGGCCUUCGGGUUGUAAACUGCUUUUGUACGGAACGAAACGGUCUGGGUUAAUACCUCGGGCUAAUGACGGUACCGUAAGAAUAAGCACCGCAU